UGGAGAUUCCAGCCGGGCCUGCGCUUAAGUGCGCGGUCUUGUUAGGCUUGUAAGUUUCUUUCUUGUUAUUCCAAACGGUGAGAGAUUUCUGGGCUUUUGUUUUAGGCCAAUUAAAACCGUUUCAAUACAACCCACUGGGGAGUUUUCAUUUUUUUGCAACUUUUUUUUUGGGCAUUGGAGCAAUCGGGGCCCAGAGGUAACAAACACAAACAAUUUUAUUUAUUCAUUAAAUUUUUGUCAAAAACAAGAAUUUUCGUAACUGGAAAUUUUAAAAUAUUAAAAACUUUCAACAACGGAUCUCUUGGUUCUCGCAUCGAUGAAGAACGCAGCGAAAUGCGAUACGUAAUGUGAAUUGCAGAAUUCCGUGAAUCAUCGAAUCUUUGAACGCACAUUGCGCCCCUUGGUAUUCCAGGGGGCAUGCCUGUUUGAGCGUCAUUUCCUUCUCAAACAUUCUGUUUGGUAGUGAGUGAUACUCUUUGGAGUUAACUUGAAAUUGCUGGCCUUUUCAUUGGAUGUUUUUUUUUUCCAAAGAGAGGUUUCUCUGCGUGCUUGAGGUAUAAUGCAAGUACGGUCGUUUUAGGUUUUACCAACUGCGGCUAAUCUUUUUUAUACUGAGCGUAUUGGAACGUUAUCGAUAAGAAGAGAGCGUCUAGGCGAACAAGGUUCUAAAGUUGACCUCAAUC
This 683-nucleotide unclassified non-coding RNA is filed under the name Saccharomyces cerevisiae (brewer's yeast). Its description in RNAcentral is "sequence contains ITS1, 5.8S rRNA gene, ITS2". The stretch from base 282 to 435 matches the Rfam family "5.8S ribosomal RNA". Lineage: Eukaryota; Fungi; Ascomycota; Saccharomycetes; Saccharomycetales; Saccharomycetaceae. The record is from RNAcentral.